Small nuclear RNA from Echinops telfairi (small Madagascar hedgehog), 191 nucleotides. Its record names the gene U2. It matches the Rfam family "U2 spliceosomal RNA". From Rfam's summary of the family: U2 is a small nuclear RNA (snRNA) component of the spliceosome (involved in pre-mRNA splicing). Lineage: Eukaryota; Metazoa; Chordata; Mammalia; Afrosoricida; Tenrecidae. The record is from Ensembl.
AUCGCUUCUCGGCCUUUUGGCUAAGACCAAGUGUAGUAUCUGUUCUUAUUGGUUUCUUAUCUGAUAUGUCCUUUAUCUGAGGACAAUAUGCUAAAUGUAUUUUUGUGAGUAGGAGUUGGACUAGGUGCUUGCUCCAUCCACUCCACACAUCCACCUGGUAUGGCAAUACUUCCAGCAAUGAUGCAGCCCCU